UGGGCAACCUGCCCUAUAGAGGGGAAUAGCCUUCCGAAAGGAAGAUUAAUACCCCAUAAGAUUGUAGCUUCACAUGGAGCAGCAAUUAAAGGAGCAAUCCGCUAUAGGAUGGGCCCGCGGCGCAUUAGCUAGUUGGUGAGGUAACGCUCACCAAGGCGACGAUGCGUAGCCGACCUGAGAGGGUNAUCGGCCACAGUUGGGACUGAGACACCGGCCCAGACCUGUACGGGAG
RNAcentral lists this ribosomal RNA (232 nucleotides) under uncultured bacterium. RNAcentral describes it as "partial 16S ribosomal RNA". It matches the Rfam family "Bacterial small subunit ribosomal RNA", at positions 118 to 347 of the family's 1533-position model. The record is from RNAcentral.